UCAUCCUUCGAUGUCGGCUCUUCCUAUCAUUGUGAAGCAAAAUUCACCAAGCGUUGGAUUGUUCACCCAUGCAAGGGAACGUGAGCUGGGUUUAGACCGUCGUGAGACAGGUUAGUUUUACCCUACUAAUGACAAAACGUUGUUGCGACAGCAUUCCUGCGUAGUACGAGAGGAACCGCAGGUACGGACCAAUGGCACAAUACUUGUUCGAGCGAACAGUGGUAUGACGCUACGUCCGUUGGAUUAUGCCUGAACGCCUCUAAGGUCGUAUCCGUGCUGGACUGCAAUGAUAAAUAAGGGGCAAUUUGCAUUGUAUGGCUUCUAAACCAUUUAAAGUUUAUAAUUUAUUUUAUAAACGACAAUGGAUGUGAUGCCAAUGUAAUUUGUAACAUAGUAAAUUAGGAGGAUCUUCGAUCACCUGAUGCCGCGCUAGUUACAUAUAAAAAGCAUUAUUUAAUACAAUGACAAAGCCUAGAAUCAAUUGUAAACGACUUUUGUAACAGGCAAGGUGUUGUAAGUGGUUGAGCAGCUGCCAUACUGCGAUCCACUGAAGCUUAUCCUUUGCUUGAUGAUUCGA
Molecule: non-coding RNA, 577 nt
Filed under: Drosophila sechellia
Lineage: Eukaryota; Metazoa; Arthropoda; Insecta; Diptera; Drosophilidae
Description: Eukaryotic large subunit ribosomal RNA
Rfam family: Eukaryotic large subunit ribosomal RNA
Source: Rfam by way of RNAcentral